This 485-nucleotide ribosomal RNA is filed under the name uncultured bacterium. RNAcentral's name for it is "bacterial SSU rRNA". It matches the Rfam family "Bacterial small subunit ribosomal RNA", at positions 28 to 526 of the family's 1533-position model. The record is from RNAcentral.
GAUGAACGCUGGCGGCGUGCCUAAUACAUGCAAGUCGAGCGAACCACUUCGGUGGUGAGCGGCGAACGGGUGAGUAACACGUAGGUGAUCUGCCCAUCAGACGGGGACAACGAUUGGAAACGAUCGCUAAUACCGGAUAGGACGAAAGUUAAAGGUGCUUCUGGCACCGCUGAUGGAUGAGCCUGCGGCGCAUUAGCUAGUUGGUAGGGUAAAGGCCUACCAAGGCGACGAUGCGUAGCCGACCUGAGAGGGUGAACGGCCACACUGGGACUGAGACACGGCCCAGACUCCUACGGGAGGCAGCAGUAGGGAAUCUUCGGCAAUGGGCGAAAGCCUGACCGAGCAACGCCGCGUGAAUGAUGAAGGCCUUCGGGUUGUAAAAUUCUGUUAUAAGGGAAGAACGACUUUAGUAGGAAAUGGCUAAAGUGUGACGGUACCUUAUGAGAAAGCCACGGCUAACUACGUGCCAGCCGCCGCCGUAACAC